This is a long non-coding RNA of Magnolia sinica, 1548 nucleotides long. RefSeq lists it as uncharacterized. The transcript has 4 exons. The record is from RefSeq and is a predicted model, not a curated record. Lineage: Eukaryota; Viridiplantae; Streptophyta; Magnoliopsida; Magnoliales; Magnoliaceae.
ACAUUGAAUUCUUCACUGUGAGCAACAUCCUGUUGAAGGAUGAGCAGUAUAUAGCCCCUUUUCUCAAUCUCAGAGAAUAUCGUUGACUUGAGUGGUUGCAAAUGUUAGUAAAGGCUCACCAAGAAAGAUCAGCGUGACUGCCCCCAGUAAAGCGUACUUAUUUUACAUCAACUGGAUGAACAUACUCAUUUUGCAUUUUGCAUAACAUAGUUUUGUGGUACAAUUGCAAGUUUGCUUGUACAGGCAACUCCCAAAUUGCCUACCAACGACUUCAUACCAUAGAUGUUUUCUGUCCCUAUGUGGAUAUGGGCCCUGGUUGCUUUAGUGGUAGACGUCUGAAGGGUUAUAUAUUUUGGACAAUUUUAUUGUUACAUGAAUCAUCCAUCUUAGCCUGUUCUUAGUACUUGUGUUUUUGGACAGACAAGACACCAUAACCGUGGUAGCUGCUGAGUAAUGAUGUUAACUAUUACAGUUGAAAUUGGUGUGGCCCUAUCUGUAUUAUGGUUGAGUUACUUGUACAUGUAUCAUGUAUGUUUUGCAGGUUAUUGUUCCUCUGAUAGUUACUCCCCAUUAAGUUCAGAGGAGGGUUUGAGAAGGAAAUUCCUUUCAUUUAUGUGCAGGCACUCACAAAUGAAACAGUAUAUUUGUGAUAAUAUAAUUGUCUAUCAUGGUGGCCUGUACCACCGCCAUGGUUGGAUUCUGUUGUUGUCAUUAACUUUGUAUGUUAUUUUUACAUUUUCUUUAGUAAAUGAUUCCACCAGUCUGAACACGGCUCAAUUAGCGGACUGAGGGAAUAACAGGGAUGCAUUACCUAGUCUUAAGAUUUCCUGAUGAUCAGCUCUACCAUUUUCAUCUCAUUAGUGCUGACACCCAUGGACACAUCUACUUAAAGAGUCAUAGAGAUUGUUUAUCACAUCACCACAUCAAUGUAGUAGCUGAUUUAUUUGGGGAUGUUCUGGAAAGUGCACGACCGGCUCCCAGCAUUCCUCAGCUUGGAUAGCAGGCAGACGUCCCGGCAUUUACAAUACUAGGGAUGAUUGUCGCGUUCAGGUGGAAGGCUAUAGUGGGUGUUGUUCCCAGUCUUACCGGUCCUAUGAUGAGCCGCUGAUUGCUUGGUCCAUGUUUAAUGGUACCUAUGUGAUACUGACGACAUUCAAUGAUGAAAAACGCAGAAGUCCCUCAACCGCCGGUGUUAGCAUAUAAAGUGGAGUGCAUCCGGAUGUUCAGCGGCCUCUUCUGUGCACCAUCAUCCCUCCUCUGACGAAUGCAAGCGCAACGGGGACGCUGUCCUUGACUUUCUCAUAGGUUUAGUGGUUCUUUUUAUGUCAUUGUAUAUUGUAUUAGGUGUUAGACGUCAUCUUUGGUUCACCUCUUCAGAUUUCGGAGUUACAAUUGUGGUGUGUUUUGGACUUGCUCUAAGUUGUAUCCGUGAACGUUCUGUUUUGGCCACCUUCUAGACCGGUAUUACUUGCGGACCUUCUAUGCAGGCAGUUCUCAAUUUUUUAUUUAAAUUACCUACGUAUCAUGGUGGUAAUUUUAUCUAUUGUU